GAGGGGAAGACAGUGAUGGGGAGAGAAAGAUAGGCACCUGCAGACCUGCUUCACUACCUGUGAAGUGACUCCCCUGCGGGGGCCAUACUGUCCAGUGAAGAGGCUGUGCUGCUAGAUUUAAAUAGUCUCAAGGUAUUGCUGUGAUUGAUCUUCCUUUUUCUGACCUGAAAGACAUUGUGGAAAAGCCGAAGAGAUGGCAGUUUCUUGGGGGCCAUACUGUCCAGUGAAGAGGAGGCUGUGCUGCUAGAUUUAAAACAGAAUUUGAAGCUAUUGCUGUGAAGUAUCUUCCAUUUUCUGGCCUGAAAGACAUUCAGGAAAAGAGGAAGAGAUGGCAGUUUCUUGGGGCUCAGUGACCUAUGAAGAUGUAACUGUGACAUUCACUCAAGAGGAGUGGGUACUAUUGAAUCCAUCACAGAAGAAACUCUACAGAGAUGUGAUGUGUGAAAACUUCAGAAACUUUCUUUCAGUAGGUAACUAUAAUUGCCUUAAUUUUUCAACCAGAAGA
This is a long non-coding RNA of Erinaceus europaeus (western European hedgehog), 505 nucleotides long. RefSeq lists it as uncharacterized. NCBI's taxonomy places the organism in Eukaryota, Metazoa, Chordata, Mammalia, Eulipotyphla, Erinaceidae. The transcript has 4 exons. The record is from RefSeq and is a predicted model, not a curated record.